CUCUGUUUGAAGGUAUAAAGAGUAUAACCUGCUCACUGAUAAAAGUUUAAGAGCCGCAGUAUUUUGACUGUGCAAAGGUAGCAUAAUCGUUUGUUUUUUAAUUGGAAUCUUGUAUGAAUGGUUGGACAAGAGAAAAACUGUCUUUAUAAGAAAAAUUGAAUUUAACUUUUAGAUGAAAAGGUCUAAAUAAAUUAAAGGGACGAUAAGACCCUAUAAAGCUUAAUAUAAAAAGUUAGUUAAUUAAAUUUUAUUAAAAUAAAAAUGAAUUAGUUUAAUAUAUUUUGUUGGGGCGACAGAGGUAAAAUUAUUAUUAACUACUUAAAUAAGAUUCAAAUAUAAGUGUAAUUUUAAAAGAUCCUAGUUAAAGAUUUAAAGUUUAAGUUACUUUAGGGAUAACAGCGUUAUUUUUUUUGAGAGUACUUAUCGAGAAAAAAGUUUGCGACCUCGAUGUUGAAUUAAAAUAUCUUUAUAAUUGCAGAAGUUAUAAAAGAAGGUCUGUUCGACCUUUAAAUUUUUACAUGAUUUGAGUUCAGACCGGCGUGAG
RNAcentral lists this ribosomal RNA (544 nucleotides) under Xenograpsus testudinatus. Its description in RNAcentral is "partial large subunit ribosomal RNA". It matches the Rfam family "Bacterial large subunit ribosomal RNA", at positions 1829 to 2625 of the family's 2925-position model. Lineage: Eukaryota; Metazoa; Arthropoda; Malacostraca; Decapoda; Xenograpsidae. The record is from RNAcentral.